UGAUCAUAUUCAUCAUUCAUCAUUCACCUCCCCCACCACCACCGCACCUCCACUACACCACAACCGCACCUCCACCGCCCCCACUACAACAACACCUCACCAUCAUCAAACGAGUCAACGAUGAACGGAAGAUUCACCAGAUGAACAAAACCGUAACAAUCCAAAAUCAAGAACAAACAACGAGUUCUGUUAGACCAGGCUAAAGAGAUGUGUAUCGUGAUAAUGUUUACCAGCCAGUUUCAGGUCUAUUUGAGGAAACCUGGUGGGUCUGUUGGAAAAACCGUAUUAUGGGCGGUACAUCCGGCGUGUUGUUGGUAAAAUUCACAAAAUGAUGCUUUAUAGUGGCGUAUAUGGAAACCCAAAUAAUGUAAAGGCGAAAAACAAGAAUUUGGGGCUAUUGUACAAUUGUGCACCGAUGAGUUGUUUGGUAGAACUAGCUCGAGAGAAACCUACAGAUGGUGUUCAAAGGAUUCUUGAUAUUGAACCAAAACAGGUGCAUUUAUUCUUAAGUUUAAGAUGAAUUUUGACUUUAUUUUGGUCAACCAAAGUAUACUCUUAUCUUGAAAAUGUGUAAUGUGUAUCAAUAUUUUGUUAAUCAAGAAAAUUUGUUACUUAAUCAUGAAGUUUGUUGAACA
Helianthus annuus (common sunflower) is the source of this 635-nucleotide long non-coding RNA. RefSeq lists it as uncharacterized. Lineage: Eukaryota; Viridiplantae; Streptophyta; Magnoliopsida; Asterales; Asteraceae. The record is from RefSeq and is a predicted model, not a curated record. The transcript is spliced from 2 exons.